UAUUUUCUGACAUUAGCAGUAUCUUCAAUGACUUCGUAGGUACCUCCAAUGGGCUUAGACCUCCAGUUAAUGAAAUACACAUUUUGAUAGAUUUGUUGAGUGAUAUGCUCUCUGCUCGGUCACCUACUGGAUCACAUAUAUCUUCAGAAGCUUCAAAUACUUUUGUUGAUGUUGGACUGGUUAAGUCUCUUACUCGUACACUUGAAGUGUUGGACUUGGACAACGUAGAAUCUCCCAAAACUGUAACAGGAAUCAUAAAAGUUUUGGAGUUGGUGACUAAGGAGCAUGCCCAUUCUGCUGAUUCGAACUCGAAGAAUGAAAAUGCGAACAAGUCAUCUGAUCAAAUUCAAUCAGGAGGAGGAGCAACAUGUACGAAGCUUUUGCAGAUGAAAGAACCCCUUGCUUUUCCCGUUAGAGACUUGCUUGUAUUGAUUUGCUCAGAAAACAAUGGAGAACACCGAUCUGGUGGUAUAUGUUGCAUUCUUAGCCGGAUUAAGGAUUGUUGUCCUGUCUUCGAUGACACAAAGAACAAUCUGCUCUCUGCUCUGUUGCAUGUUCUUGCUUUGAUUCUCCAUGAAGACGCAGGUUCCCGCGAAGUUGCGCUGAAGGCGGGUACUGUAAGACUUGUGUGCGAUGUACUCUCAAAGUGGGAUUCUGGUAGUAUUGAUAAGGAAAAGUUUAAUGUUCCAAAGUGGGUGACGACAGGGUUUCUUGCCAUUGAUAGGCUGCUACAAGUGGACCAGAAAUUAAAUACUGAGCUUAUAGAGGAGUUGCAAAAAGGUGAGACAUCUCUGGCCAUUGAUGAGAGCAAACAAGACAAGCUGCAAUCUGUUUUUGGCUCUCCACAGCUUGUUGAUGCUGACGAUCAGAAGAAGUUGAUUGAGAUUGCUUGUACAUGUAUCCGGAAUCAGCUUCCUUCUGAAACUAUGCAUGCUGUUUUACAACUGUGUUCUACAUUGACAAGGAAGCAUUCUGUUGCUGUCUGCUUUCUUGAUUUUGGAGGUGUGCAAGGACUGCUUUCUCUGCCGAGUAAUAGUCUUUUUCCAGGGUUUGACUCAGUUGCUGCUAGUAUCAUCCGUCAUAUUCUUGAAGACCCCCAAACGCUUCAGCAAGCCAUGGAAUCUGAGAUAAAACAUGCUCUUGCAACACUUUCCAACAGGCACUCAAAUCAGAGAAUCUCUCCACGCAAUUUUUUGUUGCAUGUGAAUUCUGUAAUUGCACGGGAUCCAGUCACUUUUAUCCAGGCCGCUCGUUCUAUAUGCCAAGUAGAGAUGGUUGGUGAAAGACCUUACAUCGUGUUAGUCAAAGAAAAAGAGAAAUCAAAAGACAAAGAGAAGGAUAAGGAUAAGGACAGAGCUGACAAAGAGAAAUCUCAGACUUCUAAUGAAGUUGCAACUACCACUCCCCCUGGGAGCACCAAGGCUAAAGUUUACCGGAAACCUCCUCAGUCGUUCAUUGGUGUUGUUGAGCUGCUUCUGGAUUCUCUCUGUAAUUUCGUUCCUCCUCCAAAAGAUGACAUGGUUGAAGGUGAUUCUACUUCAGCAGACAUGGAUAUUGAUCAUGCCUCUACUAAGGGAAAAGGCAAAGCGGUUGCUACUACACCUGAAGAAAAGAAAGCUAUUUCACAGGACAUGUCAGCUUCAUUGGCUAAAAUUGUUUUCAUUCUGAAGCUUUUGAGCGAGAUACUGUUCAUGUAUUCUUCGUCAAUCCAUAUAAUACUUCGAAGAGAUGCUGAAAUUAACAGUCUUAGAGGUCCUCAACAGAAGGGUGGUCAAGUUGGUGGAAUAUUUCAUCAUAUUCUUCACAAGUUUAUUCCAUACUCACGGGUGAAGAAGGAAAAGAAAUCUGAGAGUGAUUGGCGGCAAAAGCUGGCAAGUAGGGCUAAUCAGUUUUUAGUGGGUGCAUCUGUUAGAUCAGCUGAAGCAAGGAAGAGGAUAUUUUCUGACAUUAGCAGUAUCUUCAAUGACUUCAUAGGUACCUCCAAUGGGCUUAGACCUCCAGCUAAUGAAAUACACAUUUUGAUAGAUUUGUUGAGUGAUAUGCUCUCUGCUCGGUCACCUACUGGAUCACAUAUAUCUUCAGAAGCUUCGAAUACUUUUGUUGAUGUUGGAUUGGUUAAGUCUCUUACUCGUACUCUUGAAGUGUUGGACUUGGACAACGUAGAAUCUCCCAAAACUGUAACAGGAAUCAUAAAAGUUUUGGAGUUGGUGACUAAGGAGCAUGCCCAUUCUGCUGAUUCGAACUCGAAGAAUGAAAAUGCGAACAAGUCAUCUGA
RNAcentral lists this long non-coding RNA (2275 nucleotides) under Brassica napus (rape). RNAcentral describes it as "long non-coding RNA (BNAP_LNC019889)". The record is from RNAcentral. Lineage: Eukaryota; Viridiplantae; Streptophyta; Magnoliopsida; Brassicales; Brassicaceae.